UAAGUAUUUAAGCUACUUGUUUUGUUAAUUUGAAUCAAGUAAGUUUUAAAAUGAUGAGUAGUUUUUAGUUAUUGUGAGUAUCCCUAGUUAUUUCAUUAUCAUCAUAUCCUGUUACUUCUACAGAAUCUCCAAAGUAUUUUUAACAUUUCUGUCACUUUGUUUUUGGUUAACUACAUGUAGAUUGAAAGAAAACUCUUCUAUUCUUUAUUUUAGCUAAUACACAUGAGUUUAUUGUUUUAGGACUGUUUACAAAUAGGUAAAUACUAUACAAGUCCAGCAGUUUGUGCACAGCCAUAAUACAACAGUGAUACAAAAAUACUUCCAUACAGAGACAUUUAACCUCAUGAAAUAGAAUACAGUAAAGAACUCAUUUUUUAAAUUUUAAUUGCUCAGUUACAUUUUAACAACAGUUGUACAUAUGCUUGCUUGAUACUUAAGCCUGUUAUCAAUAAAUAAUUACAAUAAAACUUUAAUUUAUUAAUUUAAAAUAAUUAUAAUUUGAUAACAAUUAAAAAUUCGAUAAACUUAGAUAUUGUUCAACUCUACAUAAAAGUUUGUAACCUGUCGAGUAACACUGCUAGUUAAACAUUACACGUGUAUAUCAAUUAAUAGCUCAAAGUUUUUGAAACUAACUACUGAAAUACCCCACAUCUUGGCCAUUUCUUAAUCUAAGGUAAACAUACAUUUUCUGAUGAGGUGGUUGACACACCUAAACACUCAAAGAAAUCAUUAUUCAUUUAAUAAUAGUUAAUUUGAAAAGUGGAAAUCAAAAAAGCCUCAUCUGAUUGACGAGAAUAAAAAUAAAUAAAUUCUUUAUUAAGUUGCAAUCAUAACUAAUUGUAAACAUAUAUAUAAAAAAAAUCACUCUCCAAUAAAGUCUUGUCUUAACUCUUUAAAACUAGUCAAGUAAAAAUAAUAAGUUUCUUUUUAAAGCACAUAUAUAUAUGUAAAAUUCAGCUAACUAAGCUAAAAAAGUGUUGCAUAUAGAGGAUCAGAGAAAUCAAAUUGGGGCUCAUACUGUGAUGUACAAAUACUAAAAUGUAUCCUCCUAUGAAAGUUAUAUGUUAAGACUGUUCAUACAUUAAAAUUAGAAAGAAGACAAAUGUGUAUCUACACUUUCUGUGCUUUACAGAGUUCUCUUAUGAUAGACAUUAAUAUUUUACAAUGACAAAGAAGACAUUAUAUUUUUGCCUAGUUUCAGAAAAUAUCUCAUGCUGAGAAUAUAAAUGAAAUCAGUUUUAAAGCGUACAGAAUUACCACUAUGUGAAAAAAUAUUUCCAGCACUUUAAUAACUUCAACAAAUUUAUUAAUUUUUUGGCAAUUACUACAUCUAUAAUUUAUAAAACUCUUGCCAUUGAACAGUUGUAACACGUUCACAACAAAUACAGAUAUACACACACACACACACACACACACCACAAAACAGCAGAUUUAUAUAUUCCAAUGAAUAUUUAUAACUUACCAAUUGUUAGUAGUCCACAACACCAAUAAAACAUCAAUUAUUACAGUGUGAUAUGUAUUAAAAGCCUGAACAAAAUAACAUAAUUAGAUUGGAAUACUCUUGCUCCAUGUCAAAUACAAAUGAAAAUUUUGGAAUGAGCACAAACCAAACUUUUUUCAUACUAGCUGUCUCAUAUAGCUUAUCUUCAUAUGGAUUUAUUGCCUUUUUAAAAUACAACCUUGUAUUUUCAUAUUGUAUUCUAAGUUGUGUGCAUUCUAGAUCAAAGGAAUGGAUGUAAAACUAAGGAUAAGGAUGAUAAUUUUAAUUUUAGGCAUGAUGAAAAAUGUUUUGAGGCUUCUUUGCUAUUUCAUACAUACUUCUGAGUGCACUGAUCCUUACAUAGGAAAGCCUUAAGAGCAGGAAGAUAAAAAGCACUGACAAAUUUCUUAAGUUGUCCAACAUGUUUACUGUUGUUUUAGUGAUGGUCUUAACUACGUGUAAUCAGUCGAUUUCAAUCAAUUGUUCUUAAGAAAAUAACUAAAAACAAAAAAGAACACAGGUUUUUUAAUAUUGUUUAGUUGAUAACUGAAAGGGGUGUUUUUGGACAUCUUUACAGUAUUGAACAAUUAAUUAAUAGUGAAAAUGUGUGGUAGGGUUAUGUUUAUACUACUAGAAAAGUCUACACAAAUGUAGGGUUUGUUAAUAUUGAAAAUACAAAUAACUUUGACCUACAAAGGCAUUAGAUAUGAAUUAUAUAUAAGAAUUCUUGUUAAAGAAAUAUGUGAAGAAAAACCUUAUAAAUUUAGCUGAAAAUCUGAAUAUCCUCAAAUUCUCUUUAAUAACAAAAGACUAUAAAGUUAUAUGUAUAUCUAAUAUUAAAACCAAUCCAUUUUCAUCACCUAAAUUAACAUACAGCUUCACUGGGUUACAAUACACUGAUAAGAGUUGACACAUUCAUCUUUUGCAUGAAAUUUGAAAAUUUGUUUCAUGAACUUGAUUGAAAUGACUUUGGCUUACAUAUGUCAUAGAAAUUUUAGAUUAAAAAACACAGAGAAAAUGUUCAGAGAAACAGGCACCAAGAACUGUAUCUAAGUGAUGCUAAUGAAAUUAUAAGUUCUUAAGAUAAGUGAGAAAUCUAAAAACAAAAAGCAUCACUUGUGUAGCCAGAAAUUCAGUUAGAACAUCUCACAGGGUUACCAUCUUAUUCCUCAUGUUAAGAUGAUGAUAACAGCUAAGUAAGGCAUUUUUAAAAGUAGAACAGUAGUCAUUAAUAUGACUUUGAAAAAAGAAAAUGAACUCGAAUAAGAUUCAGAAACAUGCACAUACAUGAUGUAAUUGUGUUGAAUACCUAAUAGUACAUUGCAUAGUACAUUACUGUAACACACAUUACAGAAGUUAGGAUUUCAGAUAUAUUUUUCUGAAGUACAGGAGUUUUCUAAAACGCUGCUCUACAGUAUUAGAAAAUGCUUCUUUAUGAAUACUUUUAAUCAUAAAUCCACAAUAAAGGCAUACAUACCUAAACCAACCUUGAUGCGUAGCUGUGGUCUUUAAUUACGAACAACUUAAUAGGACAUGAAUGAGCAAAUAAUUUAAAAAAAAGUUGUAUUGGAAGAAAUAAAAUUAAAAAACAGAAAUAUUAUCAUCAAAAAGAAGCUGCAGUAAAGAUGAUAACAAUAACAUAUGGGAGUAAUUCCUUCCAUAGGUCCAUAACUAUGUCAAGUCACCACAGUUUAAAUACAGCUAAGCUACAGAGAUAUGGGGAAAAAAAAAAGAAGAGAUAACCAGAUGGUAUCUGAAUUUGAGUUUUUUGCUUGUUUUUGUAUUUAUGGCAAAACUACUAAGACUAUCACUAAUAUUGAACAACUGACCAAAGGGAGGACAGCUGGUAAACAGCACUCUACCACCAAUACUAAACGAUUGAUUGUAACUCUUAUAAUGCACCCACAGUUUAAAGUGCAGGGAAUAUUUUGUGGUAUCACAUGGAUUUGAACAUGGCUUGCCAGCUCCAAAAUCCAUAGCUGUACCACAGGGCUAACUCGCACCUAAACCAGAAUGUGCAUGUUGAGAAUAGUUAUAAGUCUAUGUUUUGGCAAGCGAUAGGAUAUGUACUUGACAUUAAUUUUGAUCACAAUAUUCUUGAUUUCCAGAGAAUAAGACUGAUUUCUUUUCAGGAUACUUCACUCAUCACAACCAGUCAUUAGAAAACCCGUUGCAGCGGAUUCGCUACCCGACUUGCAUGUGAAAAGACUUGCCCUUGAAGCACUUUGAUGCUGUGACUGGUAUCCGAAAUAAUUUGGGCCAUUUUCAUAGGUGCCAUAUCACGUGUGUACAUUGGAAUUUUUAUAUGGACUGUACUAUGAAAUAACACAUUUCAAACUUAAAACUGCGCACUUCCUUCCACUCAAGCAGAAGAAUGGACAGUGAAUGAGGCCCCUGCUCUUCAGCUGAAUGUGUUGUGUUAAGUUUGUAGUUGUGGCCUGCUACUGUGUGGUGACCAAGAAUAUGAGGUUGUGUGAUGAUUUACGCAAGUUGUUAAAACUCAAAAGUAAUAACAUUUUGCUACUUACCGACAUGUUGAAUUCAUAUUUUAGUAAUUAUCAAUGAGUUAGUUUAUCAGCUUUAGAGUAUAUGCAUGCAUUUGAAUUUUACUAUGAAGUCUAAUGUUACUGCUCAAUUCUAUAAAAAAUAAUGGAACUUACUUGAUUCAUAACAUGGACAAUUGUACACAGCAGCAUCUUAUGAAACAUACAAGGGUUUUGGCUUGCCUUAAUAUUUUGUUAGCAAAUAUUCAAUAAUCAAAACUAUAUAUUUUGAUCCACUUAAAUAUAUAUUUAUAUAUAUAAUUUUAGUGUUUUAACAAAUUGCCAAUACUUCAUAGGAGAAAUAGUUUAUUUUAUAAAUUUAC
Molecule: long non-coding RNA, 4346 nt
Filed under: Limulus polyphemus (Atlantic horseshoe crab)
Lineage: Eukaryota; Metazoa; Arthropoda; Merostomata; Xiphosura; Limulidae
Description: uncharacterized LOC111086430
Source: RNAcentral